AGCCAGGAGGAGGAGGCACAGGGUUCCCCCUGAGAGCCAGGCUAGCUCUUGGUGUUGCUUUGCUGCAGGUGCCAUUUGGCAUUGAGGAUUGUUUUUGUCUUCCUCCGGGAAAGUAGGAGGGAGAGGACACAGUCUGAGUGGU
Molecule: small nucleolar RNA, 142 nt
Filed under: Chlorocebus sabaeus (green monkey)
Lineage: Eukaryota; Metazoa; Chordata; Mammalia; Primates; Cercopithecidae
Description: Small nucleolar RNA U3
Rfam family: Small nucleolar RNA U3
About the family: Small nucleolar RNAs (snoRNAs) are involved in the processing and modification of rRNA in the nucleolus. There are two main classes of snoRNAs: the box C/D class, and the box H/ACA class.
Source: Rfam by way of RNAcentral